GCAAGGCCUGACACUUCUUGAUAAGCCCGCGGCCUAUCAGCUAGUUGGUGAGGUAACGGCUCACCAAGGCUAAGACGGGUAGCUGGCUGAGAGGACGACCAGCCUCACUGGAACUGAGACACGGUCCAGACACCUACGGGUGGCAGCAGUCGAGAAUUUUUCUCAAUGGGGGAAACCCUGAAGGAGCGACGCCGCGUGGGGGAUGAAUGGCUUCGGCCCGUAAACCCCUGUCAUUUGCGAUCAAACCUUACGACCUAACACGUCGUAAGCUGAUAGUAGCGGAAGAGGAAGGGACGGCUUAACUCUGUGCCAGCAGCCGCGGUAAUACAGAGGUCCCAAGCGUUGUUCGGAUUCACUGGGCGUAAAGGGUGCGUAGGCGGUCGGGUAAGUCUGACGUGAAAUCUUCAAGCUCAACUUGGAAACUGCGUCGGAUACUAUUCGGCUAGAGGAAUGGAGGGGAGACUGGAAUACUUGGUGUAGCAGUGAAAUGCGUAGAUAUCAAGUGGAACACCAGUGGCGAAGGC
Molecule: ribosomal RNA, 524 nt
Filed under: uncultured bacterium
Lineage: Bacteria
Description: bacterial SSU rRNA
Rfam family: Bacterial small subunit ribosomal RNA
Source: RNAcentral